CGGCCUGCCCGGUCACGGCCGGACUGGACCACGUGCAUGGUGCGUGCUCCAGUCCGGCCGAGGCCUCGCUUUGCUCUUCGCCACAUUGUGAAGACUGGGCCGGCUAACGACGAUUUCUGUUUCCUACAAGCACAAUGGGCCCACGUGGUCGAAAGAAAGCAUAAAAAGAGAGCACUCGCUCUGCAUCACCUUUUUCCUGCACCGGUCGGCCUGCCUGGUCACGGCCGGACUGGACUACGCGCAUGGUACGUGCUCCGGUCCGGCCGUGGCCUGGCUUUUCACUUCACCACAUUGUGAAGUCUGGGCCGGCUAACGUUCAUUUCCGUUUCCUACGCGCAUAAGGGGACCACGUGGUCGAAAGAAAGCAUAAAAGGAGAGCACUCGCUCUGCAACACCCUUUUCCUGCACUGGUCGGCCUGCCUGGUCACGGCCGGACUGGACUACGUGCAUGGUGCGUGCUCCAGUCCGGCCGUGGCCGGGCUUUUCACUUCACCACAUUGUGAAGACUGGGCCGGCUAACGCUCAUUUCCGGUUCCUACGCGCACAAGCAUCUGAGCAAGGAACAUACCCGUAUGCUCUCCCCCUGGGGUGCACAUGGACACGCCGAUCACCGGGACCGUCUUUCACCGGCGUCCCCAUCCAAGUGAAGGCAGCUAGACCUCUCUUAAGCACCGAGAUUGCCCAAUGGGAGAACCCUGGCUCGCCGACUCUACGCCGCCUGAGGUUGCCUUCGAUGGUCUACAGUGGUCUUUGUCCAAGUGCUUCUGGCCAGCGAUCUCGACUUCCUACAAUGGAAGAAACUUUUUUUUUUGAGGUCUGCGAAGCGAUAACUGCGAGCUACACUAGUGUGGACUUCAUAUUUCUCCAGGGGGACGAAGAUUGCAAGCGACUUUACAUUUCAAGA
Long non-coding RNA from Dermacentor albipictus, 904 nucleotides. RefSeq lists it as uncharacterized. The record is from RefSeq and is a predicted model, not a curated record. NCBI's taxonomy places the organism in Eukaryota, Metazoa, Arthropoda, Arachnida, Ixodida, Ixodidae.